This 499-nucleotide ribosomal RNA is filed under the name uncultured Pseudomonadota bacterium. RNAcentral's name for it is "bacterial SSU rRNA". It matches the Rfam family "Bacterial small subunit ribosomal RNA", at positions 355 to 871 of the family's 1533-position model. The record is from RNAcentral. Lineage: Bacteria; Pseudomonadati; Pseudomonadota.
UGGGGAAUAUUGGACAAUGGGCGCAAGCCUGAUCCAGCAAUGCCGCGUGGGUGAAGAAGGUCUUCGGAUUGUAAAGCCCUUUCGACGGGGACGAUGAUGACGGUACCCGUAGAAGAAGCCCCGGCUAACUUCGUGCCAGCAGCCGCGGUAAUACGAAGGGAGCUAGCGUUGCUCGGAAUUACUGGGCGUAAAGGGCGCGUAGGCGGCGCAUUUAGUCAGGCGUGAAAGCCCUGGGCUCAACCUGGGGACUGCGCUUGAGACGGAUGGGCUGGAGGACGGAAGAGGGUCGCGGAAUUCCCAGUGUAGAGGUGAAAUUCGUAGAUAUUGGGAAGAACACCGGUGGCGAAGGCGGCGACCUGGUCCGUUACUGACGCUGAGGCGCGACAGCGUGGGGAGCAAACAGGAUUAGAUACCCUGGUAGUCCACGCCGUAAACGAUGUGCGCUGGAUGUUGGGUGGCCUAGCCACUCAGUGUCGCAGCUAACGCGGUAAGCGCACCG